Long non-coding RNA from Centruroides sculpturatus (bark scorpion), 782 nucleotides. RefSeq lists it as uncharacterized. Lineage: Eukaryota; Metazoa; Arthropoda; Arachnida; Scorpiones; Buthidae. The transcript is spliced from 3 exons. The record is from RefSeq and is a predicted model, not a curated record.
AUUUAUUCGUAGUAAAGGAGGAUUUUUAUAUAGUUUUUGCCGUAUAUUCCAAGAAAACUUUAACGCACGAACGAAUUUGACAACGAUCAUCAUCAUCAUCAUCAUCGUCGUCGUCGUCGUCAUCCAAACAUGUGACUUUGAUAGGACGAUUAUUCGUCACGAAAGUUUAAAUCCGGCGUAAAUGGUGUUUUCAUAUAAUUGAAUGACUUGGUAACUACUAAUCUAGGUAAGAGAUAAUAUAACUUGUAAUUAUGACGUCUAAUAUAAUCGAGUAAUAUCAAUAAUAUUUGAUAAUAUUAUAAUCUAAAUAUAUCUCUAACGACUUAAGACUUUUGUAGAUAAAAUAUUACCCCCAUUUUAGAUAAGUAAGAUUCCUUACUUUGAUAAAUAUUUCACUUCAAGAGAUAGUUUUCCGGAAAAUCUAAUUAUCAUUAACCGAACUAACUUCAAAAGGUAUAGUUUUAAUAUGUUUCGUGUAUUGUGAUUCAUAUCUCUGCGAAAUGGCCAGAAGGGAAAUUAUGAAAAUGAAUUAAAAUUCUCUCUUCUAGGACUUCGAGGGGUGAAAAAAAAUCCUAACAGGUUAUUAACAAACAUUUGAUGGUCUUUAAGAAGUUGUAGAAUUAAUAGUAGGAUUGCCUAAAGAAGAGACCAGCAACCUUCUGCGGGCCGUAAACGAAAUUCGUAGGCUUCAGGCGGGCCGCGUGCAUUCUUGCUUAGUUGCAAGUUUAGUUGCUUCGUCACGAAUAUCGGCUUAAAUAGGGUUGUAUAAUGACACGAGGCAG